Molecule: transfer RNA, 123 nt
Filed under: Mycolicibacterium arseniciresistens
Lineage: Bacteria; Bacillati; Actinomycetota; Actinomycetes; Mycobacteriales; Mycobacteriaceae
Description: tRNA-Val
Source: RNAcentral
GUGCUCUAAUGGGUCCAAAUCCAACUAUCCGCAAGGCGCCGACCAGCAUAAACGAAUCAGCGUGGAGGCGAGAACCGCCUCACACGCGGAAGGUCGCUGGUUCGAAACCAGCCGGGACCACCA